CAGUAGCCGCGGUAAUACGUAGGUGGCGAGCGUUGUCCGGAAUCAUUGGGCGUAAAGGGAGCGCAGGUGGUUUAAUAAGUCUGAUGUGAAAGCCCACGGCUCAACCGUGGAGGGUCAUUGGAAACUGUUAAACUUGAGUGCAGGAGAGAAAAGUGGAAUUCCUAGUGUAGCGGUGAAAUGCGUAGAGAUUAGGAGGAACACCAGUGGCGAAGGCGGCUUUUUGGUCUGUAACUGACACUGAGGCGCGAAAGCGUGGGGAGCAAACAGGAUUAGAUACCCCUGUAGUCCCUGUCUCUUAUAC
RNAcentral lists this ribosomal RNA (301 nucleotides) under uncultured bacterium. RNAcentral describes it as "partial 16S ribosomal RNA". It matches the Rfam family "Bacterial small subunit ribosomal RNA", at positions 509 to 807 of the family's 1533-position model. The record is from RNAcentral.